Molecule: non-coding RNA, 93 nt
Organism: Drosophila virilis
Lineage: Eukaryota; Metazoa; Arthropoda; Insecta; Diptera; Drosophilidae
Source: Rfam
UUGUGCUCAACGGGUAAGUGGUGUAGAUGAAACAAAUUUCACAACAAAUUUUUUGUUGGAUUGUUUCACCUAUCGUUCCAUUUGCAGCUACGA